AGGGGUAAAUAUUCUUACGUUGCAAUGAUUGAAGAAGGAUCAAAUUUAUGAGUGGUUUUUGCAAGUUGUGAUUAAAAUAUUAAUAAAAUGAUAUUAAAAUAAUAAAUAAUAUUAAAAAAAUUAAAUAGUAAAAUUUUUGGACUAUAAAUAGUCAUGGGAGGGAAGGUUAUUCUGCACAAAAAGAGAGGAAGAAUCAAGUGAGAAAUCUUGAAAAAUAGAGAAGAAAGAGUUACGAAGAAAUUUUAGUUGCAAGAAGAGUAGAAGUUCUGAAGGGUUUUCGGGGGAACAAAUUCUGAGCAAGAGAUUAAGUCUAUAAUAGAGGUAAAAGGAGCUAACCUUUAUAAGCUUUUAUAUUAUGAUAAAAAUAUUUUUUUUAUAACUAUUCAUGUCUUGAAAUUUUGUGCAAUUACUAUUAAUGAAAAACUUAUGUGCUUGUUGUAUAACUAUUUAAAUUUCUGUGUUAAUAUUAUAUGUUGUUGUUUUGAAUUUGUGA
This 493-nucleotide long non-coding RNA is filed under the name Vigna radiata. RNAcentral describes it as "long non-coding RNA (VRAD_LNC005399)". Lineage: Eukaryota; Viridiplantae; Streptophyta; Magnoliopsida; Fabales; Fabaceae. The record is from RNAcentral.